CCCGGAAAAGCUGAAACGGUGCGGUAAGAGCGCACCAGCGCUGCGGCAACGUAGCGGCUUGGCAAACCCCACCCGGAGCAAGGGCGAAUAGGAGCGGUUACGGCUGGCCCGGCCACGCUCGGGUACGCCCGCACGAGGCCGCCGGCGACGGUGGUCCCAGAUAGAUGGUCGUCCACGACAGAAUCCGGCUUACAGGCCCACUCCCGCC
This 208-nucleotide RNase P RNA is filed under the name Coriobacteriia bacterium. RNAcentral describes it as "partial RNase P RNA component class A". It matches the Rfam family "Bacterial RNase P class A", at positions 144 to 367 of the family's 367-position model. Rfam says of the family: Ribonuclease P (RNase P) is a ubiquitous endoribonuclease, found in archaea, bacteria and eukarya as well as chloroplasts and mitochondria. Its best characterised activity is the generation of mature 5'-ends of tRNAs by cleaving the 5'-leader elements of precursor-tRNAs. The record is from RNAcentral. Lineage: Bacteria; Bacillati; Actinomycetota; Coriobacteriia.